AACGAACGCUGGCGGCAUGCCUAACACAUGCAAGUCGAACGAGACCUUCGGGUCUAGUGGCGCAGGGCUGCGUACCGCGUGGGAACCUGCCCUUAGGUUCGGAAUAACCCCCCGAAAGGGGUGCUAAUACCGGAUAAUGUCUUCGGACCAAAGAUUUAUCGCCUUUGGAUGGGCCCGCGUUGGAUUAGCUAGUUGGUAGGGUAAAAGCCUACCAAGGCGACGAUCCAUAGCUGGUCUGAGAGGAUGAUCAGCCACACUGGGACUGAGACACGGCCCAGACUCGUACGGGAGGGAGCAGAAGGGAAUAUUGGACGAGGGGCGAAAGCCUGAUCCAGCAAUGCCGGGGGAGUGAGGAAGGCCUUAGGGUUGUAAAGCUCUUUUACCCGGGAUGAUAAUGACAGUACCGGGAGAAUAAGCUCCGGCUAACUCCGUG
Molecule: ribosomal RNA, 433 nt
Filed under: uncultured bacterium
Lineage: Bacteria
Description: partial 16S ribosomal RNA
Rfam family: Bacterial small subunit ribosomal RNA
Source: RNAcentral